This 1060-nucleotide long non-coding RNA is filed under the name Mus musculus (house mouse). RNAcentral describes it as "long non-coding RNA chr13:65246711-65247771". The record is from RNAcentral. Lineage: Eukaryota; Metazoa; Chordata; Mammalia; Rodentia; Muridae.
UGUUUUUGUGUAGCUCUUAAUCCACAUCUUUAAUUUUAAAAUUUGGCCACUUAUAUAGAUGAUACAAUAUUUCUCAGGAUGGCAUAUGCUCAUGUUCAUACAUCAGUACUACCUGAGGUUUCAGAGUCAUUGGACUCUAGGUGUGUGACAUUCUGCCUAACUCUUGUGUUUGUUCUGAAAUUUUUAAAUAGAAGCAUUUUGCCUGUGUGCAUGAAUAUGAAUAUCAUGUGUGUAUUCAUCUUUAGUGUUUUUGGAAGACGGCCUCAUAACUCCUGAUCUUUUUUGUUUGUUUGUUUGGUUGGUUGGUUUGGUUUUUUUGGGGGUUUUUUGGGGGUUUUUUUUUUUUUUUGGUUUUUGGUUUUUUUUUGAGACAGGGUUUCUCUGUUGUAGCCCUGGCUGUCCUGGAACUCACUCUGUAGACCAGGCUGGCCUUGAACUCAGAAAUCCUCCUGCCUCUGCCUCCCAAAUGCUGGGAUUAAAGGCGUACACCACCACGCCCGGCAUAACUCCUGAUCUUGAAGUAACAGUUUGUUGUUGGUCUCCACAUAAAUGCUAGAAAUUGACCACCAUUAUGUGGAAGACCAGCAAGAGCUUUUCACUGUUGAGCUAUUUCUCCGGCCCUAUGUUGCUUAUUUAUGAUCAACAUUUAUAUUACUAGUAUUUUCAUCUCUCCAUUUGUAACUGUUUAAACCUUAUUUAAGUUCUUUUUUUAAUUUCUCCUAUUCAAAAGGUGCAAAAGCAACACAGGUGAACACUAUAUUUCAAGUUCCUUCUAAAAUGACAGGAUGAUUAGAUUAUAACUCCUGUGUGAAGAAAUCAGUGGAGGAAGCACCAGAAAUAUAUGGAUAUAUUGUGGAGGAAGUGUACAUUUACUUUACAGUGAUGUCAGUAUCAUGCUUUGUGUUGUACACAUUUAUGGGAUAUUUUAGGAUUCAGUGACUUAUGAUGAUGUGCAUGUGAACUUCACUAAAGAAGAGUGGGAUUUGCUGGAUCCUUCCCAGAUGAAUCUCUACAAAGACGUGAUGCUGGAGACCUACUGGAACCUCAUUGCUAUAGGUAG